ACUCAUUCUCACAUGAUG
Molecule: small nuclear RNA, 18 nt
Filed under: Arabidopsis thaliana (thale cress)
Lineage: Eukaryota; Viridiplantae; Streptophyta; Magnoliopsida; Brassicales; Brassicaceae
Description: snRNA_05228
Source: RNAcentral